Molecule: long non-coding RNA, 1850 nt
Filed under: Numida meleagris (helmeted guineafowl)
Lineage: Eukaryota; Metazoa; Chordata; Aves; Galliformes; Numididae
Description: lncRNA (ENSNMEG00000006981.1)
Source: RNAcentral
UUGCCAAUCUCUGGUCUCCCAGGAGAAUACAGAAUGCUUCAGUAGAAAUCAGCUACUUCUGACAAUGUUUGAAAUCACUGGAGAAUCAGUGUCGUAUCAAUAGUGCACCAUAUUGAUGAUAUAUAAUAUUAUGGGCAUGCAAGACACCACACAACUAAAAGAAAAAAAAUAUGUUGGGGUUUCUUGUUUUUUUGCCUUUUCAUGGACCUGGAAAUCUCUCUUUUAGACACUAAUUUCUGUUGUACAACCUGUCUCCACAAGUGCUGGUCUUCUUCCUAGCAAAGGCUCCCAUCACUCUCCCAGCUAGCCAGCGUAUUUUCUAACUUUCCUGGGGAUGGAAGUGGUGAAAGUAAAGAUAAAGUGCUCUUCUUGAGUGAUGACCAUAGACAUGAACCUUAAUGUCUUUGGAGGCUUAGCAAAGUGUGAUUCAGAGGACUUUAAAGUCUCUGGGAUAAGGACGCACUUCUCUUUUGGCGGCUUAACCUUUCCUUUGAACUGGAAGAAAACACCAGAACAAUAAAAACCACAGUGAGGGUGAGGUUUGCCCUGGGCUUGUGAGGUCCGGACUUUCAGAUAAGAAGUCUGGUGUGUAAAGAAGUUCGAGCAGUAACAAGUUGUUGUUCUGUUGUGCCUUAUUUUUUCCAGCAAGCAACAAAGAAGAAAAACCAGCCUAUGUUUAUAGCUGAGAGAAAUCUUUGGCUGCAGGUCACACCACAGAUGAUGAAAACUAUUUGGCGGCCUGCAAGGGCUGUCAGUGCUGUUGCAGGUCAGCAGCUCAGCAGGAAGACACCGGCUGUUCCUGUUUGCUGGAGGGAUCGCAGCUUCUGAAGAUUCCCUUUUAGACUCAGAGAAUUGCCCAGCGGACUUGAAGAAUUUGAAGAUGAAGAGUUGGGCUUCAUGACUGCAAAGAUCAUCAUGCCAAAAGUGACUGAGCAUAAUCAUGCACAGGCUGUCAACAACUGCUUCAUGAAGGAAGGAGAGCCAGGAGUUGAGGGCAAGCACUGAUCCCACUGACCAGAGCACAGCCCUGCAAUACUUGUAUCAGAACAGGACAGUGACAGGUUCCACUGAGAGGCAGUGGACAAGAUGAGGUGACAAAGACAACGUCUAUCCAUGUCAAGCCAACAGAAUUACUGAAUCUCUCUAAUUGGAAGGGACCCAUAAGGAUCACCGAGUUCAACUCCUGGCUCCACACAGGACCAUCCAAAAAACAAACCCUAUGUCUGAGUGUUGUCCAGACACUUCUUGAACUCCAGCAGCUUGGGGCCUUGAUAAGCCUGUUCUGUAUCUGACCACCCUCUCAGAGAAGAACCUUCUCCUGAUAUCCAACCUGAAGCCAUGUUUAGGAGUGCUUGAGCACAGGCCUCCUCCAAUAUAGUUCAGGCUCAGUGCCCUCCCCCAAGAAAACAACUGUUAAAAGAUAGGAAAAAAAUUAGCAAUAAGCCUGAAUUUAUGUAGGUGAUCUAUUCCCUUGCUUUAGCAUGAUUUUUAGUCUUUGUUUGUUUUGUUUGCUUGGUUAGUUUGGUUUGGUUCAUUAGCUGAGCAGAGGCAUCUGGAAUUCUUUAGUGGAAGAACUGUUCAGCAUAGCUGGGUUGCAUAUGGCUUUGAGGAACAUACUUAGGUAUACUUCCUAUAGAGUUGAGAAGUCAGAUGGAAAGGGCUUACAAUGCCAGAGACAAUGUGUCCUUGAAAGGUAGCUGUAAUACUGGCAUACUUGGAAAUACUUGUUUAACAAAAUCAUUCAUUUUUCUCCUCAAAGUACCUGUACUUUAACAGGUUUGUGAUUAGCCUUCCUCAAAAUAGAGGAACUGAGCCUCAAGAAAUGCCAACAGCUUGCUAAUUUUCAACCC